This is an RNA transcript of Malania oleifera, 2166 nucleotides long. It is a transcript of the gene named negative regulator of systemic acquired resistance SNI1, with no coding region annotated. The transcript has 16 exons. The record is from RefSeq and is a predicted model, not a curated record. NCBI's taxonomy places the organism in Eukaryota, Viridiplantae, Streptophyta, Magnoliopsida, Santalales, Ximeniaceae.
AACACUUCAUUGCAUUUUUCAUUUGACAAACGCUGCGCUGGUGUAUAUUCAAACUUCUUAGUUCUUACGACGUGGAUUGAGGCGAACUGCAGUAACGGCCUGUGAGGGAUAUUGGCGGGAAAAGGAAACAUCAGCUCUGCCUCUUCAACUAUCACCCGCUAGAGGAGUUAAGCUAGGGUUUCACCGAACUAGAUAAUCAGAAUGGCUUGCAGAAGAACCAACAGAGGGAUCGAAGAGAACACCUUGGCGAUCCUCGAUGCAUCCGGCGAUAAAGACACUCAAGACAAUAACGAUGAUAGGAUCGCUUUUCUUGAAGCUGUUCGCGCUUCGUCGAUUGUUCCGGGAAGUGGAACUCCUCCGACGAGCAAAAUGUACGAAGCAAUUUUUCAGAUUAUGAAGGAUGGGAAGUCUCUAGAAUUAAUUAUGGCAAGUUAUCAGCUUUUGAAUGAAUUAGAGAAGCAUUACCCACGGGUGUAUUUAUCCUGUGUUAGUAGUCCUAAUUCCUCCUGCAGUACUAUACCUGAACUAGUGGUGGUUAAAGAGGCUUGGUCACCGCUUGUAUUUGGCUGGGAUGCUUGCAGUGAGAGGGAGUCAUCCAAUAAAGAUUCUGGAGGACUACUCGAUUCCUACGGUUUUAAUCUACUCAUACAAAAACUUGCUGAGGUGGCUAAUGAAGCUGACUUUCAUGUGUUUGACACAAAGUUUCUGAGAAAUAUGUUAUUGUUUCAAUAUCUUGUUAAUGUUCUUGAAGGAGAUUUUUUACCUCGUCACAGUACUUAUGAAGAAAGCAUGAAUUGGACUGUUUUGAAGGAAUCCUUGCUCAACAUGCUUUUGGGAUUGAGGAGGAUAAGUUACAAAGGCUUAGUGAAGGAUUGUUUGUCUGUUUUGUGUUAUCUUCAUGGCCGAUUCUGUCAAGGUCUAAUAUAUUCAGAAGAUUCAUCAAGAUCAUUUGAAAAUUGUAACUCUGCUGUGGUAAAUGCUUUACUUGAACUAGGAAAUUGUACUUCAAUUGCAGCGCAGAGACUUCUGGUCAUGAUAAUGGAGCUUGAUAUGUCAAAGAAGAAAGCUAACAUGAAUGGCCAUACUACCAGAGCUGACAGCCUGAGAACACCACUGAUAGAGAUAAUUCUAGAUGAAAUUACUUACAAUAAAGAUAUUCUUUUCCCAUUUUUUCUGGCCUUUCAUGAACCCAAAUGGAAGCUGGAAAUAGUGUUGCAGUAUUUUUCAAAAUACAUAGCAAAGCCUGCAGUUCGCACUAGGAGGUCAAAUGAUUCCAAGGAGGAUGCAACACUUGAAGGAGUUUUAAAGUGUUUUUCAAAUAUCAACAGUGCAAAGAGCGUUGUUAAAAAAAUCAGUUCAGAAGUAGCUCAAUUACUUUUAGCACAUGCUUUUCAGGCAUAUUUGAUGCUGUUGUCCAAACAACAGAGUGUUAAAAGCAUUUCUGAUUCUAAGGAAGUCAUCGAAGGCUGCUUUUCUGUGGAAAUAUGCAAGAAUAUGAUUUCUGCUUUCAAUUGUCUUAAGAAUAAUGAUGCAGACUUGGAGAUUUUGCCUUUGGGAAAGGAAGCAGUUUUUGUGGCAGCAACUAUUCUUUCCACAACAUCAUAGGACUGCAGAAGCUGUUCAAAUUCAAUGAUUCACUGGAUUCAGCAGUACCCAUGGACUAAUUUGGAGAUCAAGUGUAAAAUUACAGCUUCCUAAAGGUCUGGGCCUCCUGCCAGAGUAUGAUCCUUGCUGCUGUGUUGAUCCCCUUCUAGUUCGAUCCCUGACCGGAAGAUGGAAUAAGAGUGAACCUUGCAUCCAUGACACAGAAAUUAAACCCCAAAAACUCAAGCCAAACAAAGAUAAAAUAAAGUAAGCCAAGAACUCGGGCAUUUGAUAUCAUUGUCAAAAAUUAUGAAAAUGAAAAACAAGAAACGAAAACUGAAUAUUAGAAACCGAAGCGAAAAAUCAAAAAUCAGCGUUAAUGUUUAAAAAAUAAAAUAAAAAUUAAAAAAUUUGAUUAAAUAAAUGCUCAUUUUUGUCCUUAAAUCAAAUAAAAAUACUAUAAAUUAAAAGUACUAUAAAUAAAAGUAAAAGUUAUUAUAAUAAUUUGACAUAAUUGUUAUGUUUCAAGAUUCACUUUGCAAGAAUAAUCUUAUUGGACAUGACAAUUGAAAAUAGUAAAAA